AACCUAGCACACCUGCGGUGUGUACCUGCGGAAGGAUCAUUACAGAGUUGCAAGACUCCCUAAACCAUUGUGAACCUACCUUCUACCGUUGCUUCGGCGGGCGGGCCCAGCGCCCCCCCGGCCCCCCGCGGGCGCCCGCCGGAGGAUACCCAAACUCUUGACAUUAGUGGCCUCUCUGAGUAUUCUUUACUGAAUAAGUCAAAACUUUCAACAAUGGAUCU
This 221-nucleotide unclassified non-coding RNA is filed under the name soil metagenome. RNAcentral's name for it is "partial contains 5.8S ribosomal RNA, internal transcribed spacer 2, and large subunit ribosomal RNA". The record is from RNAcentral.